Hylaeus anthracinus is the source of this 3203-nucleotide long non-coding RNA. RefSeq lists it as uncharacterized. The record is from RefSeq and is a predicted model, not a curated record. Lineage: Eukaryota; Metazoa; Arthropoda; Insecta; Hymenoptera; Colletidae. The transcript has 3 exons.
AUCGAAUGCAUCUGAAAUGCGUUCCGAGAUAGAUUCGGCGACAGAAUGCGGAGCAAGGCUUUUCACAUCCGAUAUGCGACCACGUCCGCGUGCAUGCGUUCAAUGUUAACCGUGAGAACGUACUCUCGACGAUAACAGGCACGCCUAAAACAAAAUCGUAAUGCUUUGUCUGCGAGUAUUGGUAAUUAGGAUCGAUCAUCUUCGAUGUCACUUUUCUGCUUUCGAAUGAAAAAUGAUUUAGGAAGACUAUGAACAAUUCUACCGUUGCUUUGAUUAUUUGUAUAUUAUAGUAUUUAAGGUGGUAAAUGCUACAAGGUGCGUUAAAAUAUAUAAUAGAAUAUCGAAUACACACGAUAAGAUAGCUACAAGAUUAAUAAAUAAUAGAACAAUUAGAAUUUUUGUUUAUCUGGAACAAAAUGUAUAGAACAUUGAUGCGUGUUAUAAUUAAAUAUUAACAGUUUCGCUGCGGAUGACACACAUGUGCGUUCAACUGAAAAUAUAUGGUUGUUUUUAUUAUUUUUUAGUUUUCAUUUUUUUUUGUUCGGCAAUCAUAUUAUAUAUGAAAUAAGUUACCACAAAUAUAUGUUUUUCAAAAUGAUCAUAUUAGAAGAUUUGUAAGAAAUUUUUCAUUAAAAAGAAUAUCAUAAUUGCAGCACCCAGCGAACGGCUACUUAUUUUCGUCCGCAAUGGAAAUGUUAAUAUUAAGGUGGUAAAUACAUAAUGUAUUAAAAUAUAUAAUAGAAUAUUGAAUACGUUCCACGACAAGAUAGCUACAAGAUUGAUAGAUAAUAGAACAAUUAGAAUUUUUGUUUAUCUCGAACAAAAUGAAUAGAAUAUUGAUGCCUGUUAUAAUUAAAUAUUAAAGCUUCUAGAUAAGACUCCAAAUUAUAAUACGUAGGAUUAAUAACGCUUCAAAUUUAAUUUACAAAGUUCGCCAAGUUUUCUCCAACUAACAGGUCAACCUUUCUCUUCGUUCGGAUACCACACCGUAAUUACAUAAAGGGGGUACUUUAAUAUACCUAAUCAGACCAGUUCUUGCUUUCCACCAUAAUUAUUCGAUGAAGCUAUACUAUGAUAGAUUGAUAACCAGAUGGAAGUCCCACUCAUCUGGCUUAAUAAAACCGUAUUAUAAUAAUUGACAUUCCAACGGGAUAUUUAAUACCGUGUAAUGAUAUUGCGUUUAAUACUUAAUGCGUUAAAAUAACGCGAAACAGUGGCAGUCGCGGAAUAAUGAGCGGAAUUGAACGGGGAACAGAUCGCGGAAUUCCAUUCGUGCGGUUCCAGCGGUCCGAAUCGCGCAGAUUCCGAGGAUUUUUGGUUCUCCGACUUCCGUUAGAUAUUUACACGAACGAUUCUUUGGUAUUCCACUUCCUCUGUAUAAUUAUAUUCACCCCUAACCCUCGCGGGAAUUCCAUUGGUCCGUUCGAACGAUUUUUGGCCGCCCCUUUGGGUUAGGUUUGGGUUAGAGUGGCUACCAUUCUUUCUUAAAUGGAGGUCUAAACACAUGCUCGUACUUUAGUAUUAAUUACUAACAUUCCUGUCGUGUUCUUUCAAAAGAGGCUUGUAUAUACAUUAAUAACUACCAUUUUAGAUAACUAGUAAAUUUAAAUAUAUUUUAUCCUCUGGAUGUUUAACAUGCAUUCUAUUUUCAUAUUUUAUAUAUUCAUGCAUUUGUACAGAUCCUUAAAUAUUGGAAAAUAUUUACACUCGUCAUCGAUGCAUAAAUAUCUUCAGUCUAAUGAUAACCUUCCAAAAAUCUUCCCCUGAAAACUCUUCCUAACACACCCUCAAAAAGACCCACCUCUUCUCUGAUCAUUUUCUCAUUCUAAACCCCUCCCAUCAAAAUUUAAAUAAUUGCGCAUACUACCAACCCCAAAUCACACGCCAAUUUCGUUUAUGAUUGAUACAAAUCGCCAAUGAGCGUUUAAUGGGACCAGGAGAAUAGUCAGACGCAUUCAUCACAUCGUUUCGCCUCUUCCAUCUCCAUGAUCGAUUGUCAAACGUAUCUCGACGCUUUUGUGCCGCGAGCAUCGAUUCACGCGAUCGACUCAUUCACCAAUCGUAAAACUUCUCACGAUUCUCGGCGUUGUUCCGAUAGAAAAAGUUACCCAUUGAUCGUUUUGCUGUCGCGCAAGCGCUGACAAUGGUUCUUUCUUUCUUCGAUCAUUCAUGACCGGAAGUACGCGUCCAUUAUCAGGAACCACGACGAACUGCUUCCAGGUAUCGUUGACGAUAUAUUCGAGCCAACAAAGGGAGGGAAAAUAAAAUUCCACGCGCGUCACGGUUGCGGUUUAUAAGCGGACGACAUGUGAACGCGUCUCGCGUGACUCUUUGUCCGGCUUCGACCAUGGGGGCUCGCGAGGCCGAGUCCUCCUCUUCCCUCGAGAUUUGGAUCUUGUUUCAUCUUCGUGGACAAACGUGUCGCAAUUACAGGAAUUACGGUAAACCCCCUCUCGUUGAUCCGGAUGCUGCGUUAGCUGAUAGAGUUCCAGUUUUAAACCCCUUUGAAGAGGGAGUAUCGACUCCAUUCUGUAGAGAUAAAUUUAUAUUGUAAGGGUAUAUUUAGGUGGUCCAUUGUUUGUUCGUAAUUUUUUAGAGGGAAUUUACGAUUCCUUGUUCAUUUCUCUCUAUACAACAUUGUAUGUAUUCUUUAAGAAUUUUUUAUAUCCAACAUGAAUCAAAACUGAUUUUUUACAUUGUGAUACUUAAUAAAUUCCUUGCAUACAGGAUCAUUGUACGGGAAUAAGAAACUUAUGUAAAUGGUUGAGCAAUUGAAUGUCAAUGCUGCAGACCUAACCCACUGCACUUCUUGACACUGCUCGAUUCGUCUGCUUAUCACGUCCUCCAUACAAGGAACAGGUCACUCGUGAAUCUCCGAUCCCCCUACCCCUGGAAAUACAUUGAUAGCCCCGUGCAGAUGGAAGGUCAACAAAAUAAGUGCAUCAAGCCUGUGGAAUGCAGUCGAGCGAAGAAUAACUCGAAGAAAUUCGAGAAAAACUCGGCCAGAGAAACUUUUAUUUCUGGCCUAUGGAGAAUCAGACGUGCAGAAGUAUCUUCAAUGAACAUGGCUACCUACUUCAAUUUGUACUUGACGAAUUCCUUUGUAAAAAAUAAAGAAACUUUCACGCGAUCCUCUACAAGUUCUUUUAUUUUGAAUAUCAAUCACUUGAUGAUUUCUAUCUAAUCAUACAAUCUAAACAAAA